CAAAAUUGAUUAACAGUUGAGAUCAAAUCAUUUUUUCUUUCCUUUUAAACUCAACAAACCCUAAUCUCUCAUAUUUUGACAAAAACAACUCCAUCUCUCUAAAAAUUUCACCACCACCGGCGACCCCAUUCCCGCCACCAGCGCUGCCAAUGCCGCCUCCCCUUUCUCUCUUUUCUCGCGGCCAGCCACCAGCAAAACCAACACUUCCUCUCAUUCUAUCUCUCUCUCUAAAAUAUCUCUCUUACGUCCACUAGUACCGCUGACGGACAACAACAUCCAACGACAAUAGCAGCCGGUGGAGCAGCCAAUCGGUGUCACCAUCAAAGCCGAUACCAUAGCUGCCACCACUGCUCUUUCUCCCUUCUCUAGCCGGUGACUCUCCACCAUCAAAUGGUUUCUGCCGCCAAGCCAAACAUCGGGCUUCACCGGCGAAACCAACCAAACCAGCGCUGCUGUCUAUGAGAGGCUCCAAGACCAGUGCACAUCAAUCCUAACAUCGGUCAUCGCUGACCGACGAUUCUCCAUCACAUGCAGCCACCGCUCCGUCCUUCCUUCCCUCGCCGGCGAAAUACCGGUGAAAUAGCAACAAUAUCAGUCGCUUCUCUGCCCUUGACCCGGACUGAAAUUCACCGAAAAAUUAUUUGAAGGGCAUCGCAGAUUCGCAAACAUGACUCCGCCUCAGGUGUAACUAGAUGGUUUUGGAAUUUGAAGUCAUCCGGAAGUUUGGGGAAAGGCUGCCUUUUUAGUUUAGCCUUUUCUUUAUUAAUUCAUUUAGUCUGUAAUAAUUGCCUUGUAUAAACACUACCUAUGUAAUAAUAAUUGUGGGGGCUACUUAGUGGGUGAGGUUUGUGUGCUACCUGAAUCACUCAGGCAAACACAACUUAGGUUCACUAACUUAUUUGAACGCAUAGAGAGCAUGUUUUCAGGAUUAAUCACCAAUUAUAAUCGAUUUCGAGUAUGAUAAUUAACUUACAAUGAGACA
Capsicum annuum is the source of this 982-nucleotide long non-coding RNA. RefSeq lists it as uncharacterized. The transcript is spliced from 2 exons. NCBI's taxonomy places the organism in Eukaryota, Viridiplantae, Streptophyta, Magnoliopsida, Solanales, Solanaceae. The record is from RefSeq and is a predicted model, not a curated record.